RNAcentral lists this ribosomal RNA (376 nucleotides) under uncultured bacterium. Its description in RNAcentral is "bacterial SSU rRNA". It matches the Rfam family "Bacterial small subunit ribosomal RNA", at positions 523 to 898 of the family's 1533-position model. The record is from RNAcentral.
AUACGUAGGGGGCGAGCGUUGUCCGGAAUUACUGGGCGUAAAGGGUGCGCAGGCGGCCGAUUAAGUCAGAUGUGAAAUACCAGGGCUCAACCCUGGGGGUGCAUUUGAAACUGGUUGGCUUGAGUGCAGGAGAGGAAAGCGGAAUUCCUAGUGUAGCGGUGAAAUGCGUAGAGAUUAGGAGGAACACCAGUGGCGAAGGCGGCUUUCUGGACUGUAACUGACGCUGAGGCGCGAAAGCGUGGGGAGCAAACAGGAUUAGAUACCCUGGUAGUCCACGCCGUAAACGAUGGAUACUAGGUGUAGGGGGUUUGAUACCCUCUGUGCCGGAGUUAACGCAAUAAGUAUCCCGCCUGGGGAGUACGGCCGCAAGGUUGAA